This 440-nucleotide ribosomal RNA is filed under the name Staphylococcus aureus. Its description in RNAcentral is "bacterial SSU rRNA". It matches the Rfam family "Bacterial small subunit ribosomal RNA", at positions 1 to 429 of the family's 1533-position model. Lineage: Bacteria; Bacillati; Bacillota; Bacilli; Caryophanales; Staphylococcaceae. The record is from RNAcentral.
UUAUGGAGAGUUUGAUCCUGGCUCAGGAUGAACGCUGGCGGCGUGCCUAAUACAUGCAAGUCGAGCGAACGGACGAGAGUGCUUGCACUCUCUGAUGUUAGCGGCGGACGGGUGAGUAACACGUGGGUAACCUACCUAUAAGACUGGGAUAACUUCGGGAAACCGGAGCUAAUACCGGAUAAUAUUUAGCUUCGCAUGAAGCAAUAGUGAAAGACGGUUCUGCUGUCACUUAUAGAUGGACCCGCGGUGUAUUAGCUAGUUGGUGAGGUAACGGCUCACCAAGGCAACGAUACAUAGCCGACCUGAGAGGGUGAUCGGCCACACUGGGACUGAGACACGGCCCAGACUCCUACGGGAGGCAGCAGUAGGGAAUCUUCCGCAAUGGACGAAAGUCUGACGGAGCAACGCCGCGUGAGUGAAGAAGGUUUUCGGAUCGUAAA